Molecule: ribosomal RNA, 468 nt
Filed under: uncultured bacterium
Lineage: Bacteria
Description: partial 16S ribosomal RNA
Rfam family: Bacterial small subunit ribosomal RNA
Source: RNAcentral
GACGAACGCUGGCGGCGUGCUUAACACAUGCAAGUCGAACGGAAAGGCCCUGCUUUUGUGGGGCGCUCGAGUGGCGAACGGGUGAGUAACACGUGAGUAACCUGCCCUUGACUUUGGGAUAACUUCAGGAAACUGGGGCUAAUACCGGAUAGGAGCUCCUGCUGCAUGGUGGGGGUUGGAAAGUUUCGGCGGUUGGGGAUGGACUCGCGGCUUAUCAGCUUGUUGGUGGGGUAGUGGCUUACCAAGGCUUUGACGGGUAGCCGGCCUGAGAGGGUGACCGGCCACAUUGGGACUGAGAUACGGCCCAGACUCCUACGGGAGGCAGCAGUGGGGAAUAUUGCACAAUGGGCGGAAGCCUGAUGCAGCAACGCCGCGUGUGGGAUGACGGCCUUCGGGUUGUAAACCGCUUUCGCCUGUGACGAAGCGUGAGUGACGGUAAUGGGUAAAGAAGCACCGGCUAACUACGUG